Molecule: long non-coding RNA, 1777 nt
Organism: Anolis carolinensis (green anole)
Lineage: Eukaryota; Metazoa; Chordata; Lepidosauria; Squamata; Anolidae
Source: Ensembl
AUAUAUCAGGAGGGAAAGAAAGAAGGAGCGAAAAGGCCUGCAGACCAAGGAGAAGCAGCUAAGGCGGCUCUCAUAAAGGAAGGCCGAGAGCGAGGAAGGAGGUUUUCGGGCCCGGAGAAAGCGACCUUGGCGCCACAACAGACCGGAGGAAACCAAACCAGGCCAGGCCGCCCCCCGCUUUCGCUCACCUUGGCCUCAGGCGCGGAGGAGGGCCUCUCGACGUCCCCUCAGGCCGCCGGAAAUCUGGCUGGGCUGCCUGCGCACGGUACGUUACGUUACGUUACGUACAAGCGCUUCCCUUUCCUGAAGGGCGCCUUAGCGACGGCGCACACAAACCCCGCCCUCCCGUCACCGGAAGCGAGUGCUCUCGUGAGAGGUGGCCGAAAGGAGACAAGAUAUGAGAGAGAGAGAGAGAGAGAGAGCGAGAUCUCGCGCCGUCACGUGGUCUGCGUUUGUAUACAAGAGUCUUGGAGAGCACAACACAGACUUGGUGAAUAGCACGGCUUAACCGACCUUCUUUCACUUCUGAACACAAAAAUUAUUUCAUAUGUGCAGUUUUGAACAAAUAUUUCUGAGAUAGUGAUCACAUAAAAAUGAAUAGCUCAUGGAAACACUCCAUGUAUGACCUGCCAUUAUAAGAACGCAUUUGAUAUGCCACAUGAUAAAGCCCAGUACUGGAAGAGACUAAACAAUUUAGGAAGGACUUGGUCCAUAUACUUGAACUUAAAUAUGGUGGAGACUAUUGUACUUUGGAUAUAUCAUGAGAAGAUGGGGCCAGGCUGUGGCGCAGGCUGUUGAGCAACCAGCUGCAACAAAUCACUCUGACCAAGAGGUCAUGAGUUCGAGGCCAACUCGGAGCCCCGCGUUUGUCUUGUCUUUGUUCUAUGUUAAGGAAUUGAAUGUUUGCCUUAUAUGUGUAAUGUGAUCCGCCCUGAGUCCCCUUCGAGGUGAGAAGGGCGGAAUAUAAAUACUGUAAAUAAAUAAAUAAGAAGGGUUCAUUAUAUUAUAUUAUAAAACAAUAUACUUGUAGGACAGAAGGGAGUAAGAAAAGAGGAAUACCACAUUACUGGUGGAUAGACUCAAUGGAGGAUGCUACCAUGCUGAGUUUGGAAGACCUGAACAGAGAUGUUGAUAACUGGUGACUUAGUUGGAGGUCUCUCAUUCACUGGUUCAAAAUCAAUUUGACAACAACAAUAAACAAACAAACAAACAACUAUAUUGCCAGUCUUUUCUCAGAACCUACAAAAAUGUCAGAAAAUAUAUUUCACCGAAAUGAGCCCUUGGUAUCCAUUGGGAUUUUGGUCCAUGACCCCAGUCCAUACUAAAAUCCAUAGCUGCUCAAACCUAUUAUAUGCAAUGGUGUUGUAAAAUGCCGUCCCUACUAUAAAAUAGCAAAAUUGUUGGUUGCCUUUUGGAUUUUUUUCUUAAUCAAGCCAUGGCUCUUUGAAUUUGUGGAUACGAAAUCCAUGAAUACGGGGGGGGGGGGGGGGGAUUGUAUUAUUGUACAAAUAUAAAUAGAAUAUAAAUCUCACUUACCUAGUUUACAACAAACCUCACAACCACUGAGGAUGCCUGCCAUAGGUGUGGGCGAAACAUCAGGAGAAAAUGCUUCUGGAAGAUGGCCAUACAGCCCGGAAAACUCACAGCAACCCAGUGAUUCCGGCCUUGAAAGCCUUUGACAACACAUAAAUAGAAAUAAUUAUUAUUUUGGUAUUAGCCUUUCUUCAAGCUUCUUAGACAACAUGCAUGGUUUCUCCCAUUCUCCUGAUCUUAUUCU